UAUUAUCCAUCGAGUUUGGUACUGCAAAGC
Molecule: non-coding RNA, 30 nt
Filed under: Mus musculus (house mouse)
Lineage: Eukaryota; Metazoa; Chordata; Mammalia; Rodentia; Muridae
Source: RNAcentral